CUUUUGGCAUCGUUUUCGCGGUAUCUCUCAAAGCUCUUUAUCUCUGCCUUUUUUUUCCGUUGUUCAGUUUUGUUGCGCUGAUGCCUGAAAUGAUCGAUAUUUGAAUUUAUAUAAGCCUAUGAAGGAUUAGGAUUAUGGGUUUAAAUCAAAGUUAAAAAAUUUAACAAUAUGAUAGCUUCUGCAUGCUGGUAAAGGGAAAAAAAAUCUACCCUGUCUAAGUGGUGGUUAGAACUUGAACUUGGGUUUGGAGAUUUUAGUUGCAAAGUUCAAAUUAGAAUUUAUGAGCCGGGGAUGUGCCAUAAGAAAAUAAUGAAAUUCUGCUUGUGUUAGAGUCCAAAGCUCCAUUGUGGAGUUACAGGGAAAAGGACUGAGAAAGAAUGUUCAUACUCGAGAGAUUUUUUGUAGAUUACAUUUCCUCAGGAGGGGGAUAAGGGAAUGAAUUAAAAAGAUCAGAUAAACACUAAAUAGGCACCCGUGAAAUUUGGAGAAUUAUGGGAGAUUAAUCUGAAACUUUAUUCGAAUUUGGUGGCUGCAACAAGGUAGCCUGGACUAUUUCUUGAGAUUUUCUUUUCUUGGGUUUGUGAUGGGAAUUAUGGAAGGUGAACAGCAUGCAGCACCCAGACUUGCUGGGCUUCAUUUUGUGCUGACCAAAUGUGAAGAUGUAGUUCCCGAGUUUGGUGAAACAUGGAAACUAAUCUGUGGUUAUGGUUUAAAAUUUUAUGCUAAUAUACAUCAUAAAGGAAACAAAUGACCCUACCCCUCAUUUUGCCUUGCAUGGAAUUUGUAGAAUGUUACAUCCUUCAGUAGAAUCAGUAGCGCUCAGAGUUUCUUCUAUGUAAUUUCUUCAUCGUAUACUAUAAGAAAUAUCGAUGUAACUUAAAGUACUUGACACAAUUGAGAUCCACUCUUAAAGACCUAAGUUUAUGACAGCUUUCUAACCUUACACACAAAACACUCGUUUUCAUAAUAUUUUUCAUUGGAUUAAGCACUGCCUUCUUUUUUGUAAUACGUUUAAUCGGUAGCGCUCAUAGUUUCUUUUAUUUCAUGGUCGAUGUAGACUAUCUGUUACAUUCAUUCAUGGAUUACUCAAAAGGUGGUUUGAGAAGUAGGUGGGUGAUUGAUCUAGACCUGUUGCAGACCAAUUUAUAUGCUUCUAUGAAGACACUUGGCUAUGAUUUGUCUCUUUCGUAUGGUUGAAAUACUUGAAAAUCCAAUAAGUUGUAGUCCUUGGUGAAUUGGUUUUCUGGGGAAGGGAGAGAGUUGUUUAUUUCAAGAAUAGGCUGGACCUACCCUGUUGUACUUUUUCUUUUCACUAUAACUAGGAAAGAACCAUGGCUUUUCAAAAUUCAUUGCUAUCCAUGGAACAGAUGAGCUAUUUUGCUUGUUUAUUUCAAGAAUAGGCUGGACCUACCCUGUUGUACUUUUUCUUUUCACUAUAACUAGGAAAGAACCAUGGCAUUUCAAAAUUCAUUGCUAUCCAUGGAACAGGUGAGCUAUUUUGCUUGUUUCUGGUUAGAAAAGGCAC
This 1525-nucleotide long non-coding RNA is filed under the name Gossypium barbadense (sea-island cotton). RNAcentral's name for it is "long non-coding RNA (GBAR_LNC019510)". The record is from RNAcentral. Lineage: Eukaryota; Viridiplantae; Streptophyta; Magnoliopsida; Malvales; Malvaceae.